RNAcentral lists this transfer RNA (65 nucleotides) under Dipodomys ordii (Ord's kangaroo rat). It matches the Rfam family "tRNA". Rfam says of the family: Transfer RNA (tRNA) molecules are approximately 80 nucleotides in length. Their secondary structure includes four short double-helical elements and three loops (D, anti-codon, and T loops). Lineage: Eukaryota; Metazoa; Chordata; Mammalia; Rodentia; Heteromyidae. The record is from Rfam by way of RNAcentral.
GGUGGCUCAGUGGUAGAGCGCUUGCCUUGCAGGCAUAAGACCCUGGGUUCGAUUCCUCAGUACCA